AAUAGAUGACGCCGUUGACUUUUUCUCACAUGUUUGACCAUUCGUCUUAUUCAAAAAAUUUACGUAAUUAUAAUUUAUUUUUGUUAUGAGUUGUUUUAUCACUCAUAGUAAUUUAAAUGUGAUUUAUAUCUUAUACAUUUGUAUAAAAUUUUUGAAUAAGACGAAUGGUCAAACAUGUGAGAAAAAGUCAAUGGCGUCAUCUAUU
RNAcentral lists this microRNA precursor (205 nucleotides) under Oryza sativa Japonica Group (Japanese rice). Its description in RNAcentral is "MIR812 microRNA precursor family". It matches the Rfam family "MIR812 microRNA precursor family". Lineage: Eukaryota; Viridiplantae; Streptophyta; Magnoliopsida; Poales; Poaceae. The record is from Rfam by way of RNAcentral.